CAAUAAAUAUUUUAAGAUAAAAAGUUAGUUUUGGGUACUAGAAAUAUGUUGUUAAACAUUUUAUUGA
Molecule: transfer RNA, 67 nt
Filed under: Penthimia melanocephala
Lineage: Eukaryota; Metazoa; Arthropoda; Insecta; Hemiptera; Cicadellidae
Description: tRNA-Pro
Source: RNAcentral